UUGCUUCAGCAUCAAAUAUAUUAAAAUUGCAAUGAUACAGGAAAGAUUAGCAUGGCCCCAGCCCAAGGAUGACACAUGAAUUUGUGAAGUGUUCCAUAUUUGG
Molecule: small nuclear RNA, 103 nt
Filed under: Dasypus novemcinctus (nine-banded armadillo)
Lineage: Eukaryota; Metazoa; Chordata; Mammalia; Cingulata; Dasypodidae
Source: RNAcentral